GACGAACGCUGGCGGCGUGCCUAAUACAUGCAAGUUGAGCGCUGAAGGUUGGUACUUGUACCAACUGGAUGAGCAGCGAACGGGUGAGUAACGCGUGGGGAAUCUGCCUUUGAGCGGGGGACAACAUUUGGAAACGAAUGCUAAUACCGCAUAAAAACUUUAAACACAAGUUUUAAGUUUGAAAGAUGCAAUUGCAUCACUCAAAGAUGAUCCCGCGUUGUAUUAGCUAGUUGGUGAGGUAAAGGCUCACCAAGGCGAUGAUACAUAGCCGACCUGAGAGGGUGAUCGGCCACAUUGGGACUGAGACACGGCCCAAACUCCUACGGGAGGCAGCAGUAGGGAAUCUUCGGCAAUGGACGAAAGUCUGACCGAGCAACGCCGGGUGAGUGAAGAAGGUUUUCGGAUCGUAAAACUCUGUUGGUAGAGAAGAACGUUGGUGAGAGUGGAAAGCUCAUCAAGUGACGGUAACUACCCAGAAAGGGACGGCUAACUACGUG
This 497-nucleotide ribosomal RNA is filed under the name uncultured bacterium. RNAcentral's name for it is "partial 16S ribosomal RNA". It matches the Rfam family "Bacterial small subunit ribosomal RNA", at positions 28 to 507 of the family's 1533-position model. The record is from RNAcentral.